RNAcentral lists this ribosomal RNA (1067 nucleotides) under Sordariomycetes sp. genotype 603. RNAcentral describes it as "eukaryotic LSU rRNA". The stretch from base 498 to 1067 matches the Rfam family "Eukaryotic large subunit ribosomal RNA", at positions 1 to 580 of the family's 3401-position model. The record is from RNAcentral. Lineage: Eukaryota; Fungi; Ascomycota; Sordariomycetes.
GGAUCAUUACCGAGUUAUCAACUCCCAAACCCCUGUGAACAUACCUGAACGUUGCUUCGGCGGGACCGCCCCGGCGCCCUCAGCGGCCCGGACCCAGGCGCCCGCCGGAGGACCCAAACUCUUGCUUUGCAUUAGUGGCAUUCUCUGAGUCUCACAAACAAAAAUAAAUUAAAACUUUCAACAACGGAUCUCUUGGCUCUGGCAUCGAUGAAGAACGCAGCGAAAUGCGAUAAGUAAUGUGAAUUGCAGAAUUCAGUGAAUCAUCGAAUCUUUGAACGCACAUUGCGCCCGCCAGUAUUCUGGCGGGCAUGCCUGUCCGAGCGUCAUUUCAACCCUCAAGCCCCCCUGGGUGCUUGGUGUUGGGGACCGGCCCUCCUCGAGGGCCGCCCCCGAAAUGCAGUGGCGACCUCGCCGCAGCCUCCCCUGCGUAGUAGCACAACCUCGCACCGGAGCGCGGAGACGGUCACGCCGUAAAACGCCCAACUUUUUUCAAGAGUUGACCUCGGAUCAGGUAGGAAUACCCGCUGAACUUAAGCAUAUCAAUAAGCGGAGGAAAAGAAACCAACAGGGAUUGCCCCAGUAACGGCGAGUGAAGCGGCAACAGCUCAAAUUUGAAAUCUGGCCCCCAGGGCCCGAGUUGUAAUUUGCAGAGGAUGCUUUUGGCGCGGUGCCUUCCGAGUUCCCUGGAACGGGACGCCAUAGAGGGUGAGAGCCCCGUCUGGUCGGACACCAAGCCAGUGUAAAGCUCCUUCGACGAGUCGAGUAGUUUGGGAAUGCUGCUCUAAAUGGGAGGUAUAUGUCUUCUAAAGCUAAAUACCGGCCAGAGACCGAUAGCGCACAAGUAGAGUGAUCGAAAGAUGAAAAGCACUUUGAAAAGAGGGUUAAACAGUACGUGAAAUUGUUGAAAGGGAAGCGUUUAUGACCAGACUUGGGCCCGGUGAAUCAUCCAGCGUUCUCGCUGGUGCACUUCGCCGGGCUCAGGCCAGCAUCAGUUCGUCGCGGGGGACAAAAGCUUCGGGAACGUGGCUCCCUCGGGAGUGUUAUAGCCCGUUGCAUAAUACCCUGCG